Molecule: ribosomal RNA, 441 nt
Filed under: uncultured bacterium
Lineage: Bacteria
Description: partial 16S ribosomal RNA
Rfam family: Bacterial small subunit ribosomal RNA
Source: RNAcentral
CCUACGGGAGGCAGCAGUGGGGAAUAUUGCACAAUGGGGGAAACCCUGAUGCAGCGACGCCGCGUGAGUGAAGAAGUAUUUCGGUAUGUAAAGCUCUAUCAGCAGGGAAGAAGAAAGACGGUACCUGACUAAGAAGCCUCUGCUAACUACGUGCCAGCAGCCGCGGUCAUACGUAGGGGGCAAGCGUUAUCCGGAUUUACUGGGUGUAAAGGGAGCGUAGACGGCUGUGCAAGUCUGAAGUGAAAGCCCAGGGCUCAACCCUGGGACUGCUUUGGAAACUGUGGAGCUAGAGUGCUGGAGAGGUAAGUGGAAUUCCUAGUGUAGCGGUGAAAUGCGUAGAUAUUAGGAGGAACACCAGUGGCGAAGGCGGCUUACUGGACAGUAACUGACGUUGAGGCUCGAAAGCGUGGGGAGCAAACAGGAUUAGAUACCCCAGUAGUC